AUCAGUGAUGAGUUCCUACCGCCCCAGUCUGAUCAUUGUGACUGAAUGGUAAUUCUGAGCAGUC
Tachyglossus aculeatus (Australian echidna) is the source of this 64-nucleotide small nucleolar RNA. Lineage: Eukaryota; Metazoa; Chordata; Mammalia; Monotremata; Tachyglossidae. The record is from RefSeq and is a predicted model, not a curated record.